Non-coding RNA from Tortispora caseinolytica NRRL Y-17796, 83 nucleotides. NCBI's taxonomy places the organism in Eukaryota, Fungi, Ascomycota, Trigonopsidomycetes, Trigonopsidales, Trigonopsidaceae. The record is from the annotation of a GenBank genome assembly.
UUCCUCGUGGCCCAAUGGCAAGGCGUUCGCCUACGAUUUGUGUCACCAGCGAAAGAUUCCAGGUUCGACCCCUGGCGGGGAAG